GUCUAUGGCCAUGCCACCCUGAACAUGCCCGAUCCCGUCUGAUCUCGGAAGCUAAGCAGGGUCGGGCCUGGUUAGUAAUUGGAUGGGAGACCACCUAGGAAGACCAGGUGCUGUAGGCG
RNAcentral lists this ribosomal RNA (119 nucleotides) under Pteropus alecto (black flying fox). The record is from RNAcentral. Lineage: Eukaryota; Metazoa; Chordata; Mammalia; Chiroptera; Pteropodidae.